CCUACGGGGGGCUGCAGUGAGGAAUAUUGGUCAAUGGCCGAGAGGCUGAACCAGCCAAGUCGCGUGAGGGAAGACGGCCCUACGGGUUGUAAACCUCUUUUGUCGGGGAGCAAAGCGAACCACGUGUGGCUCAUUGAGAGUACCCGAAGAAAAAGCAUCGGCUAACUCCGUGCCAGCAGCCGCGGUAAUACAGAGGUCGCAAGCGUUGUUCGGAAUGACUGGGCGUAAAGCGUGCGUAGGCGGUUUCGUAAGUCGUGUGUGAAAGGCGCGGGCUCAACCCGCGGACGGCACUGGAUACUGGGAGACGAGAGUACAGGAGAGGGAACCGGAAUUCUCGGUGUAGCAGUGAAAUGCGUAGAUAUCGAGAGGAACACUCGUGGCGAAGGCGGGUUCCUGGACAGUAACUGACGCUGAGGCACGAAAGCCAGGGGAGCAAAAGGGAUUAGAUACCCCGGUAGUC
This 460-nucleotide ribosomal RNA is filed under the name uncultured bacterium. RNAcentral's name for it is "partial 16S ribosomal RNA". It matches the Rfam family "Bacterial small subunit ribosomal RNA", at positions 338 to 795 of the family's 1533-position model. The record is from RNAcentral.